CUCAUUUUUGAUGAUUUUUAGUAUCGUUGUUAAUACGUUAGAUUUAUCGAGAGACGUUAUCGUUUUGUUACUGUUAUAUAGAGCAGGGAUUGGUAACAAAGGGCUCGCAGACGCCCAAGUUUUCGCAAUGCAUUUUAAAGUGCCCGCUACGGCGCCAGAUUUACCUUGGUAAGUAAUCGAACAAUGGACCUGUAUACGCACUCGAGAUAUUUUGCAUCGUGUUUAAGAGAUUGAAAAUCGGAUCGGUUAUGGG
Molecule: unclassified non-coding RNA, 253 nt
Filed under: Bombus terrestris (buff-tailed bumblebee)
Lineage: Eukaryota; Metazoa; Arthropoda; Insecta; Hymenoptera; Apidae
Description: misc RNA ENSBTSG00005036839.1
Source: RNAcentral